CAGUCGCCACGGGAAUACGAAGGGGGCUAGCGUUGUUCGGAAUUACUGGGCGUAAAGGGCGCGCAGGCGGCGACGAUAGUCAGAAGUGAAAGCCCCGGGCUCAACCUGGGAAUUGCUUUUGAUACUGUGUUGCUUGAGUUCGGGAGAGGUGAGUGGAAUUCCCAGUGUAGAGGUGAAAUUCGUAGAUAUUGGGAAGAACACCGGUGGCGAAGGCGGCUCACUGGACCGACACUGACGCUGAGGCGCGAAAGCGUGGGGAGCAAACAGGAUUAGAUACCCGCGUAGUCCCUGUCUCUUAUAC
This 301-nucleotide ribosomal RNA is filed under the name uncultured bacterium. RNAcentral's name for it is "partial 16S ribosomal RNA". It matches the Rfam family "Bacterial small subunit ribosomal RNA", at positions 509 to 807 of the family's 1533-position model. The record is from RNAcentral.